GCAGCCGCCGCGGUAACACGUAGGUGGCAAGCGUUGUCCGGAAUUAUUGGGCGUAAAGGGCUCGCAGGCGGUUUCUUAAGUCUGAUGUGAAAGCCCCCGGCUCAACCGGGGAGGGUCAUUGGAAACUGGGAAACUUGAGUGCAGAAGAGGAGAGUGGAAUUCCACGUGUAGCGGUGAAAUGCGUAGAGAUGUGGAGGAACACCAGUGGCGAAGGCGACUCUCUGGUCUGUAACUGACGCUGAGGAGCGAAAGCGUGGGAAGUGAACAGGAUUAGAUACCCCUGUAGUCCCUGUCUCUUAUAA
This 302-nucleotide ribosomal RNA is filed under the name uncultured bacterium. RNAcentral describes it as "partial 16S ribosomal RNA". It matches the Rfam family "Bacterial small subunit ribosomal RNA", at positions 508 to 809 of the family's 1533-position model. The record is from RNAcentral.